GUGGAGAGUUUGAAGGCUAGGACCUAUUAAUUUGGAAUCAAAAAAGUAAAAUCAAAAUGCCGUGAAACAGGAACUAUGUUGUUUGGUGGUGUUGCUCCGCGCCAUACCGUAAUUGUAUUCACUCGGCGGACGGGCUGAAUGGUUUGGUUUAUGAACUUCUUGUGCAGUGCAAGAGAAAGCCACACUUGAAGAAUGUGAAGCAUUGCUGGCUUCAGUAGUCAGCUAUGCAGGUCCUGUUGCUGAGGAUAUGUUCCAUUAGCAAGCAACAAUUAUGGGUCCAGCCGACAGCCCAUUUAUUGGAGGUGUUUUCCUUGUAUCCAUUCACUUCCCACUCAAUUACCAUUUCAAGCCAUUUAAGGGAAGUCAUGAAUUGGGUUGAACUGGAUGAGGAGACUUAAAGUAGCCCUUGGCGCAGCAAGAGGACAUCUUCGAAGAGCUAAUAUAGCUCUUGAUUUACAAUGCUGCAAUAGUAAUUGCUGGGCUAGCCUUGUAAUAGGUUGAUUGGGGUUUUAUUUUGCUUAUUUUGUGAACUGUCAGAGAUAAUGAUUUUGAAUAGAAAUUUGAAGAAUACCCAAUAUUCAAAUUACUCUUGUCAAAUGUGGAUUGCAUUUUAUAGUAGCAACUACAUAUUUUGUGGACAUCAUCCUUAUCUAAAGACCAUGAUGUAUAUACAUUAAGUUAAAAUCAGUAUAUAACUAUAAAAAUGAAGUCC
RNAcentral lists this long non-coding RNA (712 nucleotides) under Rosa chinensis. Its description in RNAcentral is "sRNA RchiOBHm_Chr3g0491781". Lineage: Eukaryota; Viridiplantae; Streptophyta; Magnoliopsida; Rosales; Rosaceae. The record is from RNAcentral.